AGCUUUAAGUAUUUAUUUAAAGUGACGCCUGCCCAGUGCUUAUUUGUUAACGGCCGCAGUACCUUGACUGUGCUAAGGUAGCAAAAUCAUUUGGCUUUUAAUUGGAGUCGGGAAUGAAUGGACUAAUGGGGCACGACUGUCUCUUUUAUAUUUUAUUGAAUUUACUUAUUAGGUGAAAAUGCCUAUUUAUAGAAAAAAGACGAGAAGACCCCAGGAACUUUUAUUAGAGGUUAAAUAUUUAACUACUGUUUUUGUUGGGGCAACAUGGAAAUAAUAUUAAACUUUCCUUUUUUACUCGCCGAGUUAGUAUGUGGGUUUAAGUUACCCUGGGGAUAACAGCGUAAUUCUCUUAGAGCUUGCGACCUCGAUGUUGGACUAGGGACUCUACUGGUUAGCCGCCAAUAGAUUUGGUUCUGUUCGAACUACGUUUCC
This 432-nucleotide ribosomal RNA is filed under the name Elysia sp. 30 'red' JEV-2014. Its description in RNAcentral is "partial 16S ribosomal RNA". It matches the Rfam family "Bacterial large subunit ribosomal RNA", at positions 1828 to 2595 of the family's 2925-position model. Lineage: Eukaryota; Metazoa; Mollusca; Gastropoda; Plakobranchidae. The record is from RNAcentral.